Acromyrmex echinatior (Panamanian leafcutter ant) is the source of this 296-nucleotide long non-coding RNA. NCBI's taxonomy places the organism in Eukaryota, Metazoa, Arthropoda, Insecta, Hymenoptera, Formicidae. The record is from RefSeq and is a predicted model, not a curated record.
ACGACGUGUCAAAGUGAAUUGAUAGUUAUGUGAAGAGUUCGUUUUCAAAGGCUGGAAUAAGUUUACAAUUCAUAAAUCAUCUGCCUUGACAAUCUAUAUGUGGGAUUUAAUUCGCGACGAGAACGCAAGUAAUCUCGUCGCGGAAUUUGAAUGAGGGCCUUACUGGACCGGUGAAUAGUUUGAUAACAGUUCCCCUCUAGAUAGAUGAAGGGGAAAGGAGGGACAAGAUCAUUCGCCGUCGGUUGGCGGACUAUUCAGUGCCGCGACCGACACUGAUUUCAAUUGGUAAAUUGACU